This 367-nucleotide ribosomal RNA is filed under the name uncultured organism. RNAcentral describes it as "bacterial LSU rRNA". It matches the Rfam family "Bacterial large subunit ribosomal RNA", at positions 2099 to 2465 of the family's 2925-position model. The record is from RNAcentral.
CUUUACUGUAACUUGAAAUUGAAAUUGGACUUUACUUGCGCAGUAUAGGUGGGAGGCGUUGAGUUUAUUCUUGCGGGAAUUUAGGAGCCAUCAGUAAAAUACCACUCUGGUAAUGUUAGAUUUCUAACUUUGUAUCAUAAUCUGGUCAAAGGACAGUUUCAGGCGGGCAGUUUGACUGGAACGGUCACCUCCUAAAUGGUAACGGAGGCAUACAAAAGUUUCCUCUGAACGUGUAGAAAUCGUAUCUAGAGUAUAAAGGCAUAAAGAAGCUUGACUGUGAGACUUACAAGUCGAGCAGGGACGAAAGUCGGUCUUAGUGAUCUGACGGUGCUGAGUGGAAAGGCCGUCACUCAACGGAUAAAAGUUA